CCAUCAUUUAGUUGGGCACUCUAAGGUGACUGCCGGUGACAAACCGGAGGAAGGUGGGGAUGACGUCAAAUCAUCAUGCCCCUUAUGACCUGGGCUACACACGUGCUACAAUGGACGGUACAAAGAGCUGCAAGACCGCGAGGUGGAGCUAAUCUCAUAAAACCGUUCUCAGUUCGGAUUGUAGGCUGCAACUAGCCUACAUGAAGCUGGAAUCGCUAGUAAUCGCGGAUCAGCAUGCCGCGGUGAAUACGUUCCCGGGCCUUGUACACACCGCCCGUCACACCACGAGAGUUUGUAACACCCGAAGUCGGUGGGGUAACCUUUUUGGAGCCAGCCGCCUAAGGUGGGACAGA
RNAcentral lists this ribosomal RNA (353 nucleotides) under Bacillus anthracis (anthrax bacterium). Its description in RNAcentral is "bacterial SSU rRNA". It matches the Rfam family "Bacterial small subunit ribosomal RNA", at positions 1118 to 1471 of the family's 1533-position model. Lineage: Bacteria; Bacillati; Bacillota; Bacilli; Caryophanales; Bacillaceae. The record is from RNAcentral.